GAUGAACGCUGGCGGCGUGCCUAAUACAUGCAAGUCGAGCGAACAGACGAGGAGCUUGCUCCUCUGACGUUAGCGGCGGACGGGUGAGUAACACGUGGAUAACCUACCUAUAAGACUGGGAUAACUUCGGGAAACCGGAGCUAAUACCGGAUAAUAUAUUGAACCGCAUGGUUCAAUAGUGAAAGACGGUUUUGCUGUCACUUAUAGAUGGAUCCGCGCCGCAUUAGCUAGUUGGUAAGGUAACGGCUUACAAAGGCAACGAUGCGUAGCCGACCUGAGAGGGUGAUCGGCCACACUGGAACUGAGACACGGUCCAGACUCCUACGGGAGGCAGCAGUAGGGAAUCUUCCGCAAUGGGCGAAAGCCUGACGGAGCAACGCCGCGUGAGUGAUGAAGGCCUUCGGAUCGUAAAACUCUGUUAUUAGGGAAGAACAAAUGUGUAAGUAACUAUGCACGUCUUGACGGUACCUAAUCAGAAAGCCACGGCUAACUACGUG
Molecule: ribosomal RNA, 497 nt
Filed under: uncultured bacterium
Lineage: Bacteria
Description: partial 16S ribosomal RNA
Rfam family: Bacterial small subunit ribosomal RNA
Source: RNAcentral